This is a long non-coding RNA of Megachile rotundata (alfalfa leafcutting bee), 4974 nucleotides long. Lineage: Eukaryota; Metazoa; Arthropoda; Insecta; Hymenoptera; Megachilidae. The record is from RefSeq and is a predicted model, not a curated record.
CGUGUCAUAUUAUAGAAUCAGUUAAAAAAUGCUCAUUUCAAAUUAUUGUAUUAAACAAAAUGGCGACUGAGAGGCACCUCUUGAGCCCAAAGGGUUACUCAAGUUUAGGUCCAUAAUUUUUACAGUCAAGGAUGCUCAUCAUUAGAUGCAAUAAUAUAAAAUGCUCACAUUUUUUAAUAGUAUAACUAUGAAUAGUUUUGACUGACAAAUAAAUUGUACAAAAGGUUAAAAAGCUAUAUGAUGAAUUUUUUAUUAGCAGAAUAGUUUUGACUGGCAAAUAAAUUGUACAAGAGGUUAAAAAUCCAUACGAUGAUGAACAUAAAAUGCUCACAUUUCAAUUCCCUUUUUUUUUAACAGUAAAACUAUGAAUAGUUUUGACUGGCAAAUAAAUUGUACAAGAGGUUAAAAAUCCAUACAAUGAUGAACAUAAAAUACUCACAUUUUAAUUUUUUUUUUAACAGUAAAACUAUGAAUAGUUUUGACUGGCUAAUAAAUUGUACAAGAGGUUAAAAAUCCAUACAAUGAUGAACAUAAAAUGCUCACAUUUUAAUUCCCUUUUUUUAACAGUAAAACUAUGAACAGUUUUGCCUGGCAAAUAAAUUGAACAAGAGGUUAAAAAGCUAUAUAGUGAUUUUUCUCCGACAAGGUUCGUAGUCAGCGUCGACCUACUAACUCGGUCGAUCGAUUCGUUAAUGAAAAGUUUAAACGUCGAAACAUUAGGUUGGAAUUCGCGACGGUGAACGAAAUCGGAUUCCCGAAAGCGGUUUCGAAACGCUUUGGAGCGAUGGCGGAAAUCGUGGAGCAUUUCCGCGAGUCGGAGACAUCGAGAACCGGAAAGGGAGAGGAAAGAGGGAGUCGCGCGUUUCUCGGCCGAAACGAUUGCCCCCUUAGCUAAAAUAAGCGGAAGUAAGCAACGCGAGCGAGCGUUUCUAAAUUUAGACGUCGGCGUGUGCUCAUCCUUCGGCUUCUCAGCCGUUACGGCCAGCAGCUUCGUCGUUGCGUAUCCGUCUCACGGUUCGCCCCGUUCUUUGCCCGCUCCGACUUUGAUUUCAACCCCGCAUCUUAAGCGCCAUGCAUAAUGGAUAUCGGAGAUCCCGCAUCGCGGAAAACUGGUCCUAUUUGCAUUUCGAUGUCUCGUUCCUUCCGUCUCGACUUUUCGACGAACGAAUAAUCGUUCUUUUUCUUCGACGAAGAAAUCACGCGAGUAUUCGUAAGCCAGCUGACUGCCAAAACAGCUGUAGAUGACUCCGAUCGCGAGAUUGCGAGCUGAAAAGCGGUAAAAUUUUCCGUGCAGCGAAAGAAGUAACGAAAAGGGGGCAGCGUACGGGUAUCGCAACGUCUGUUAUCGUCGGUGAAGAAACCGGUACGGCGAUAACCGUAAGCCUUAGGGUAAAAACACAGCGAGCAGGUUUAGGUCGCGGUAGCUAUUCAACUAUCAGGUUAAGCCCGGUUGGGUCUAGAAUUUCAUUCGUUCCUAUUUAAAUGGUCCUUACGCUUUGCAUUUCAAGUAGGCGUUGUCUAAUCGACUUUUCCUACCGAUUCUUUACCCGAAUCACAUAACUGCUGACGAAACCGCUAUGUCACGUUUUACUUUAUCGCGGUCUGCCACGAUAUGCAACUUCGAUAACGACUUUUAAAAGAGGUCUUUGGAAAAGUAUUCGAGUAUUCUAUCUCGGGAACGAACUUAUUUUUGGCCCUGUUACGUAACGGAUGCGUCGCGUCGGUCGACGACCGAAACGACCAACGCGUUAAUCGUUCGUUUCGAAUCGAUCGCUUCGAUUUUCGCCUCUCGACAAAAAUACGACUCGAUUUUGGCUCGAGUUUCAUUUUCCGAAGCGAAAGUUCCGUUACCUAAUCCUUUUUCCCUUCGAACUCCCUCGGAAAUGUCCUAACGAAUCUCUAAUAAUAUAAGUCGACGCAACGCCGUCUGCCGUGUUACGAACGACAGGCGAUUACGCCACGUACGUAACGAUUUCAAUGAAAUACCGUAUCGUAACGAAUAGGAUAGCCAAUGCUGCGCAUGGUAUCCUUGAAUUUAUGUAACGCUCGUUCUUCCAUUAUUCGUCGGGCUUCUUUAGUUAUACGCUCUCUCUCUCUCGCUCGCUCUUUCUCUCCGAAGGCUGCGCGAUAGAACGAUUGCGUAAGAAUUUUUGUCGUUUGCGUUUUCGCUCUUGCAAACAACGUUCGUUGAACGUUUUCGCGCGGAGCGUAAUCGGGAAAAGUCGAGGAAAAUUGCGGGCGUUCGAGGACACGGGGGAAAAUAGCGUCGUAGGUUCGUUCACGGUAAGCGUCGCUUCGAAGCGCAAUUUUACGCCGAGUUAGGCGCAUCGAUCGUGCUCCGACGAACGCGAUCUCCUACGGGCGUGUUUAUUCCAAAUGACUAGGAAUUUUUCAUCCUUUUGCGGUCAAAUUUCGAUCGGAACGAAAGAAAACGAGAGAAGAUAAAUUUCGAGGAUAACAUAAGGCUGGUUAUAAAUGAAGUGAACAUUCACGGCAUUCAUGCGUUUUUUGACGAACACGCGUCGCCACUUGCAACCCUCAUUCACUCCAUUCACACUUCAAGGGAUAAUUAUAAACAUUAACGGGUCAUACAAUUAAUAAAUGCGUACAUAAGAUUGAUCGAUUGAUUGUAUAAGGACCUCGACUGCUAUGAUCACCGACCCAAUUGUAAAAUGACGAAGAAUAAAUAAAAAAGAAGAUAAUUUUACAAAGUUUGUUUCUUUUCUGAAUCAGACCUUUUCCUUAAGAUUCCUCCUGAAUAAAACUAUAAGCUGAGCGAUAGAACCUUCGAUCCGAGGUUUCCUCAAAUUCUCAGCCCUUUUCCCGAAUCCUAUUUUCCUUCCUCGACCGAUUAAUCAAGCGUAAAACCUUUCAGAACGCAUCGCGUUUUAAUUUUGGUCAGAAGCCAAGAAAAAAUCGAAGCGUAGUCCCUAAUUUCUGUGGAGACGCACGAACUGCCCUAGCAAUCGGAGGGUAGCAAUUUUUACGAGCGUUAUCCCUUUUAGACACGGGUCCCCACGCCAGUGUUUCUCAAACUCUUCACAGGAGAAUAGAAUUCGAACCCGGAAGGUUUCGGAAAGCGGAGACAAAAAGGAACGAUGUUAAAAGCGUGGUCAAAUAGACGCGACGGUUUGAGAGACGCUGGCUCAAAGUAACAACGGGGAAAGUAACGGCAGAAGGGGGUCGUUGCACUCGGCCAGGACCCACCCCCUAGACACGCGCAAAUGACGUCGAUGGAUAGCUAGCGAGCUGGAAGAGGUUGAUCGAUGAAAUCGGCCCACCAAAUCGUUUCCUCCUCUAUCCGAAUUUCUCUUCUUUCUGCUAUCGGUGCACGACGCGUGUGCGUUGCGAAACCGUGAACUUUCUCCUUGGACAUUUUUCGACCUCGCAAAGAUCGGAGAAACGAAUGGAAACAUAAUUAAAAGCCUGAAAAACGAUUCCAGGUGGAAACGGUGAAAAAGGGGGCGGAAAAAGUGGAGCCUCGCGUUCCAGACGAGCGGACAGAAACGAAAAAAGAGGAGAGGAAACGGGAUCGUUCGGCCUUACAAUCGAGACAGAAAUAGCGGAGGAUUUUUCUAUCUGCACAAGAAACGUUUGCAGAUAUAAAACGCAUCGUGUCGGCGAGAAUUCUGCAGGCUCCUUCUUGCGCUCUCAACGGGUCGAGAAGAAAUGGAAAAACUGAAACCGUGGUUCCAGCGAAUAGAUUCCGUGGAACAUAAAAUAUUUAGGUGCGUGAAAAUGAAACGAGACGUAAGAUCGAAAACGACGACCUUGAUAGGUUUCAGGUGCAAGGGCAAGAAAAGGGGUUCCGCGAUGUCCAGGCGUUAGUCGCGUCGUCGAGCGCGUCGCGUCGUUCGUCCGCCUAACGCUUUCAUCCACUCUCGCUCUUUCACCCUUUCUCUCUUUUUUUUCUACCCUUUUCAUUCUUUGACGCAAGCCUUUUGUCCCCCUAGGAUAUUUGCGGAGCUUUGUUUCGUCGACGGGCUGUAUAGCGGCUUAAAUAUACGUCGCUAAUGGCACGGGACCGAGGAUACAAAGGGUUGCCUGCCCGCUGGAUGCCGACGAACGUUUAUUUAUAAUUUGACCGUGGUCAAGGAAACGAUCGAAUCGCAAAGUCUCGAAUCUUUUCGAUCGUUCGAACAUUGCGGGUCACUGCAAUGCGUCUGACCGUGGCAGUUGGUCAAUAGGCAAGCGGCCAAUUCCGAUCGAAUUUAAAUAAGCCCUUGUACCAUUUUGCACGGUCACAGAUUUCCCGCCGAAUCGACGAGGCGGCGGGAAAUUCGAAAGCGGGCGGCAGCGCCAUAUCGCGGUUCCUUCUAGGGACGACCUAGAGAUGGCGACGCGUAUCUUUCCUAGCCAUUCGGAGGAUACUCGGUCGGUACAGCUUUUCGACGUUCGACCGCCUCUUCCCUUUUCGCAUUAUAAAACGCGCCACCGUUUUAUGAGCAUCCGUUUCUGCGUGUUACGAAUAUCCUUUGAUCGCAGAACCGUACGUUUUCACCAGCAAUUGCUUCUGCGACGUAAGAGGAUUAUUUCCUCGGCCGCUUCUUGGCUGGAAAUCUAUUUUUAUUCCGAUCGUACCUUAUCGCUUUACUGCUUUUAUCAUUUGCACCGUUACCUCGUUAUCGGACGUUACCUUCAUUUUUCGGAUUAUUAUCUGUAAUUCACCGUUAUCGCUGUUUCCUUCUAUGUCUUUAACUGUUUUUAACUCGUCGCCGCUUUAUUUGUACGGUGCGUCGAAAAUUCGAUAACGAAAAAUUACCGAACGACACGUGUGGAGAACAAGGCACUUCGAGGUUCAGAAAGAACGUCGAAUCAGUCAAUUUUUCGAUCAACGCAAGGGAGAUCAACUGUAGUUACAACGAAUUUCGGAAGACGUUUCGCAAAUUGAUGUUCUGAACAAACUUCUCAGGAAUUGUCAGACUUAUUCUUGUUUUCCAAUGCACUUGACAGGAAGACAGCGUGUUUGAAUUA